Long non-coding RNA from Octopus sinensis (East Asian common octopus), 441 nucleotides. RefSeq lists it as uncharacterized. Lineage: Eukaryota; Metazoa; Mollusca; Cephalopoda; Octopoda; Octopodidae. The record is from RefSeq and is a predicted model, not a curated record. The transcript has 2 exons.
GUUAUUUCAUGAGAAAGUUUGGUAACUAUUUCUAGCAUAUCAAACGACAACGUAAGUAAAAGGAUCAUACAUUGGCGCAUGCAGUUAUUACUUGUGACAUCAUGUACACAACGCUGAGCAUGUAACAAAAUGCGAACAGCCGACAUUUAGAUGUCCUGGUUUUACAUUCGGCGCUCAUAAGCGCUCAUAAAAGUUCAUUGAAUGAAUAUUCAUCGUUUGACCUGCAUUCGACCGUGACCACCACGGGUUGUUUUCUGUUGUAUUACAUCCAGAUAUUCAUCAAUUUUCAAGAUGGUUCGGUGAAAUUUUAUGAAGAUGCGGGUUUUCUUUUUUCGCAUUGUAUGCUUCUUCAAGGUCUCCAGGAUUAAGCAGAAGAAGAUGGGAAAUCAUCCAGUUCAAACCAAGAAACCUGUACCAAAUGCUUGCAACAGAGUGAAUUCU